Anolis carolinensis (green anole) is the source of this 5569-nucleotide long non-coding RNA. Lineage: Eukaryota; Metazoa; Chordata; Lepidosauria; Squamata; Anolidae. The record is from Ensembl.
AUCCCCAGUGACUCAUAAUCAUUCUUUAUUUCUUUGGUUUAUUUUAGUGAUAUGCUGCUAUUUUCCCUUGAUUGUUAUUCAUGGCUUGGUCCCUGAGAAAGAACCUGGUUGAUGUCAGAACCCUGCUACUAGAGCCUGGAUGUGGCUCUGAGUUUCAGGGUCACUGACAUUGAUAAGACACCUGCGUCCCAGGACUCGGAGGAGAAACGGCUGAUGGACUUGGCGGGGAAUUUGCGCGGGGUUUUACUGAGCGGGAAGAGACUGUUCAAAUGAGGGGGAGGGUAUAUAAAGGAGGGUUGGCCGGAGCCUCCCAUUCUUGGCUUUUCUGAUGUUCAUGUUUCCUACAGUAAAAGUUCCUGGUGAUACCACAGAGAGUCUCGUGUGUUCAUUCAGGAGCGGCUGUGGUGAGCUGACACUAAGCCAAGAAUACGGACACCAUCCCGCUGUAGCGGUGAGGUGUAACAUGCAAGUGGAGGAUGAAGAGCUCUUGGGCGCCGGAGGAGGAAGGUCGGAAAGGGCCACUCCCGAGACGGACGCUGAGUUCCACCAGCUGGCGGCCCUGGCGUCAUCCACCGCUUAUGCCCAGCCAAAUGGGGUAACCCAGAGGCGCGGAGUGGUGCGGGGAGAUAGCACCGGAGGAGAGGAUGUCGGCGAUGGAGACCACCCUGGCAGUGAUGUCGAGGGCGAUGGAGCGCCUGGCGGUUUUGGCGGAGCCGGAGCGAGGAAGGGAACUCCGGGCUAGCUCAAUGUGGGACGUGAGCAUGGGAAGCAGCCAGGGCUUUGCAGACCUCCCAGCACCGAAGGGAAGGGAAAUGCGAAAGGAGCCCGGUGCCCGGCCCAAGAUCCAAACGAGCCUGACGCGGGUGGAGGAGAGUGACGACGAAGGGGAAAAGCCUCCGAGAAUCCCGGCUACGCUCCCAACUGAGACCCUGGUGCCCCUGGCGAAUGCCGGGCGUGGCACAGGACAAAGGGAAGCAGCAGCGGGGCCCACUGGCCCGCAAGGGGGCUUGCGACGGGCGGAGAAUUGGGGAUUGCCACCACAGGGACCCCUACCGAGACGAGAGGAACUAAGGAUCGAGUUUGGGGGAGAGUCCUCUGAACUGGAUUUUUUCCUGACCACGGUGAGGGGCUAUAUGGAGGACAAUGCCCACACUUUUAGAACGGAAUCCAGCCGGGUACGGGCCAUUGGUGCAGUGUUGAAGAGGGGAGCGGCCAGCUGGUACGUUCAACUACACGCGCGGCGCGACCCAUGUCUGGGGUCACUCCGACGCUUUAUGGGGGCCCUGGAGACCCGUUUCCGAGAUCCACUGGAGCAGAUCCGGGCGAGGGAGGAGUUGAAGACCGUCUCCCAGGGGCAGAGGUCGGUAUCUGAGUAUGCGGAGGAGUUCCAAUGCCUCGCUGAAAAGGUGCCGGAAUGGUCUGCAGUGACAAAGAUAGAACUCUUCAAAGAGGGGCUCAGGCGGGAGAUCCUCUCCUGGGCGGUGCAUCGUGAUGAGCCUGACACACUGCGCGGAUGGAUUCAGCUGGCGGGGCGCAUCGAGACAUCGCUGGCCCAGGCGAGGAGGCACCGAGGAGGGCUACAGCAGCGGCCGCAGAUGAAAGAGGGGAGCCGGAAGGAGGGAUCAACCCCAGCCGGGAGGAGAACGGAGCCGACAGGGAACGUGAGCACCAGCAGGAGGGGCUGCUUCGUGUGCGGCCGUUUGGGCCACAGGGCUGCCGAGUGCUGGCAGAGAAAAGGGGAAGGCGGAGGCCCGCCCAAACCAAGAGCCGUGGCAGGGAAACGCGCCGAGGAAGAACCACCGAUGAGGCACCACUCGGGGGGGUUGGACGAAGGGGAGGAGGACGCCAUGUCAGAACCCUGCUACUAGAGCCUGGAUGUGGCUCUGAGUUUCAGGGUCACUGACAUUGAUAAGACACCUGCGUCCCAGGACUCGGAGGAGAAACGGCUGAUGGACUUGGCGGGGAAUUUGCGCGGGGUUUUACUGAGCGGGAAGAGACUGUUCAAAUGAGGGGGAGGGUAUAUAAAGGAGGGUUGGCCGGAGCCUCCCAUUCUUGGCUUUUCUGAUGUUCAUGUUUCCUACAGUAAAAGUUCCUGGUGAUACCACAGAGAGUCUCGUGUGUUCAUUCAGGAGCGGCUGUGGUGAGCUGACAGUUGAUUAAUGCAGAAUAAACAUAUAUCUAUCUAUAUAAACAAAGUAUACAUGUUUGCUGGUUGGUUUGUACCACAAAGACUCCUCCGUGGCUUGAUGGAUCUGGACAAAAAUUGGAACAUAGACUCUUCAUUAAUGAAUGUAAAUAAUGGUGGGGUUUGAAGUACAAAGUCAACCCUGUUUUGAUCUGAGGGCCACAAAAAAUAAAAACAAAUGUUAGUAUAUAACUAGAAAGGAUCAGCUACUGGCCUCUAGGUGCUAUGUGAAGAUAUGCAGCACUAGGAUGCAACCACAAGAGGGCAGUAUAUGGACAGAAAGGAUUAACUUUUGGCACAAAAAAUAGGAAGAAAAAAUAAAAGGGAAAGUUAUAAGGGAAAGGAUGGAAAGAAAGAAAGAAAGACAAAGAAGGGGAGAGAAAGGAGGGAAGAAGAAAGGGAUGAAGGAAAGGAGAGACAAAGAAAAAGUAUGGAAGACAAAGAGAGGGGGCGGGAGAAAGAUUGACACGAAUGGUCAUCAACAAUUGAACACAAAAUUGUAGAAGUUGAGAGUUGGAGGACCAUCUAGGAUGAGUGACACUUGGUUUCGCUCUUUUCGCUGCUGCAUUGCACUGUUGGCUCAUGUUCAACCUAUGGUCUCCUAAGACUCCUAAGACUCCUAGAUCACUUAACAAUCCAUGUGAAACAAAUCUAGGAGUCUUAGGAGACCAUAGGUUGAACAUGAGCCUAAGUUUGCCCAUGCCUGGGCUAGUUUAUGUGUAUGUGUGUGUGUGUGAAUACACACACAAUUAAUAUAUAAUUACAUUAAUUAGAUUCAGGUUAUUCUAGUAUCAUCUUCAGACAUAACUAUGAUAAAAUAAUAAUAACUAUGAUUAAAAAAACUCUACAAAAUAGGUCUGAGAUUAUACCUUGUCAACAGGGGUGAGAGGUUUUUCCCUUGAUCAGAGCUCAUUUCAUAUACGAGGCCUUUGGUCCUUAAUAGGAAAGCUAAUAGAUGUAGUAAAUAAGUAAACAGUUGAAUAAUAUGUAUGGUAAUGUUAUGGGAUUAAUUAUAUAAUUAAUAGAAUUAAUUAUUGGCUGAUAAAUUUAAGGAAAAGAGUCAGAGCCAUUCAAAAGCUGAGAUCCUUCAUUGUGUAUCCAGUGCAAUAUUUUGAUUUAAUAAUUAAUACCUCCUUAGGGGCUGAAAUAAACUCCAGCCUGGCAAACUGGUGGUGGUGAUGGUGUGUGUGUGUGUUUUCCUUUGAGGGUGGAAAGAUAAAUGGGGAAAUAGCCCCUUAUCCUCCCUGCGUCUCACGCUGGUUUUCUUGGAGUGUGAGCUGAAGAUCCAAAACCUCAGAGAAUUGCUACCAUGUGUCUCCAUCACCUCCCGGAGAUUAGCCCCAGAUGGGGAGAAGGCAAGCGUCCCAUUCCCAUCCAUUGGCAGAGGGCGUUUGAUCUAAAUGUAUAGCAGACCGCUUGAAAAUACAUGGGACAAGGAGGGAGAUCGACUUCAAACUUCUCAGAAACUUGCUACUUUGGCGUGGUUUUUCUCUCUUUCUCCAGCUUACGUCCUACAUUCAUAUAACACUAUUUGAAAUGCAUUAUGUGGCCAACCCUUAUAACCCAGUUUGAACUGCACUGAGUACAUUAUAUGGAUCUACAUUGACCAUACAAUGCAGCUUUAAAGCUGGCUAAUGCGGCAGGUCCUGGCUUGUUCAGUAGACUCUCCUCUACAGUUCCAUUUGGUGGAAAGCCUUAGCACUGAAUGGUUGUGUUGUUAAACUGCGAAGUAUGGAACCCUGCACAGAUGGUCGGUCAAUGUGUAAGUUGAAAGAUGUUGAGGUGGGAACAUCUUGACAAACAAGGAGUUGAAUGUCCUAUGACAGCAACCACUGAGUUUCACAAGCAAAAGGUUGACAGAUUGAUUCAGGACGAUUGUCGUAUCACUCAGAGAGAAAUUUCAAGCAUCAUCGACAUGUCACAAGAACGUGUGGGUCACAUUAUUGCUUUGUUUGGCUAUCGGAAGAUCCAACUCUUUGUUUGUCACGCAAGUCAGACGUUCCCACCUCAACAUCUUUAAACUUACUCGCCCAACGACACACAGGAUUCACAUCAACACAAUCCCCAUAAACCGCUUGCAUUCUCUGAUGGAUCUCCUUUGGGGUGACACCUUCUGCUGUCAAGAAUUCAAUGACUGCACGUUGCUUAAGUCGCAUUGACCGACCGUCUGCAUAGGGUUCCAUACUUCACACUUUAACAACACAACCGUUCAAUGCUAAGGCUUCUCCGUCUGCGCAGGGUUCCAUACUUCACACUUUAACAACACAAGCGUUCAAUGCUAAGGCUUCCUGCUAAAGGGAACUGUAGAAGAGAGUCUACUGAACAAGCCAGGACCUGCCGCAGACCAGGACUGCCAUCUGUUGAGGAGUUACGAAGGUGAAGGCAUUACUUUUCAUUCAACCCUCGUAUGGCAGUGUACAUCUAGCCUACAUUAAGCUGGAAAGUGCAUUCAAACUAUAGUUUAAUACUAGUAUAACUGCUAUGAUUCAAUGCUAUGGAAACAUGGGAGUUGUAGUGCCAUUGAGCCAUGGCAGUUCAAGUGAUGUCCUGUCCAACUGCAUUCAUUCUACAGUGUAGAUGGCUCAAUGCUAUGGAAUUCUGGGAGUUGAAGUUUUACAACUUCCAAAGAGUGCUGCCAAAGAGUGCUGGUGCCUUGCCAAAGUACAAGGCCCAGAUGCCAUAGGACUGAGCCAUGACAGUUUAAACAAUAUCAAAUUGCAUUCAUUCUACAGUAUAAAUGCUCCCUGAAUUGUUCCGCUAAAAUGUGGGUCCAGAGCCCAGCGCGCUUUGCUACUUCAAUGGCUGAAAUAUGAUGCGAUCUGAGUUUGAAGGCAAAUGAACAGAGGUUUAUUAUUUCCCACUAGAAAGGAUGUCAGUACAGAGUCUGCAUCCUCACACACACACAAAAAACAUAAAGCAUGCAGGGAAAUACAGAGCAUUUUAUCCAUUUGACAGUCAAUCAAAAUACCUGUGUUCUCCCUGAUUGGUGGGAAAGCCAGCCCAGUUUGUUUUCAGGUUCCAGUUGUCUUGGGAUUCCUUCUGGCAUCACUGGCUGAAGGAGUUCUCCCCGUGAUGACAAAAAGGAACAGCUAUAGUUGGGUAGUUUAAAGUCCAAGUCCAUUUGAAGGCCCACUCCUGUGAAAACCAGGAAUGUGUUGACAUGGCUGGUCAUGUAAACACAAAAGGGCAAUUGGGGUCACUCAAUGGAACAAUGGGCUGGUCUCUCCCACAGCAGGUCUGCUGAUUCAUAUCUCCUGGUGGCUCCGAUUUCAUCAAUGGAAGCCAGGAAGUUUCCAAACCCACACAACAGGAUUUAUUAAUGGAAAAGAGGUGUUUCAGUGAAAAGGAGCUUUGGUUCACAGAAACACCAUAGCUACCCCAUCA